Molecule: long non-coding RNA, 994 nt
Organism: Brachypodium distachyon (stiff brome)
Lineage: Eukaryota; Viridiplantae; Streptophyta; Magnoliopsida; Poales; Poaceae
Exons: 3
Source: RefSeq, a predicted model, not a curated record
CUGUAUCUCGAUGGCUCGAUCUCACAUCCGUUGCGUCAUCUCCUCCUCUCGUCUCCAUCGAGCCGCCGCCGCCUUGCUCGCCCCUCGAUCUGCUACGCUCGCCGCCACGCGCGCACCCAUCUCCUCCGCCCGCGAUCACGCGCCGGCGCCUCCUCGCUGGUCUAUCAGAUGCGCUCACCACCACGUGUGGCCGCUGCCUCGCUGAUCUAUCUCCUGCGCUCGCUGCCACGCGUCGCCGCCGCCUCGCUUGCCGCCCCGCGACGUCGCCUUGGUCGCCCGUCUCCGUCUGCUCGCCGUAAUGCGCCGCCGCUGUCUCGCUCGACAAUCUCCUGUACUUGAUUUUGAAGUGCUGGAUCGCACUCCUCCUCUCAUCGCCUAGGCCGCCCCAGGGAUUGUGGUCGCUGAGGCCACUGCCGCGCAGGGAGAGACAGGUUGUCUCGAGGCUUGAUGCUCAUGGAUCUGCGCACUACUUCCUCUCCCGUCCCUGAGCAACAACGCCUGUCGUCGCCCACGAAUCCGCUAAAUCUGGAAAUUAAAGAAGGAAGAACUGCGUCUAUAUCAGAGUUAUAUUGUGUUGUCCUUACCAACAGAAGAUGAGAGCAUGUAGAUGCAUUCUGCAGGAAAGAUGGUUAUUUCACAAACUCAGUAGUAAGAAUGAAGAUUCACAAACUGGAAAUGACAAGCCAGCCAAGAGGAGGAGGAUUUCCAAUACAACUACAAGGAAAUCAAGUUCAAAAAAAAGUCUCACAAGCUAAUGCCAAGGUUUAGAAUUCACAAGUUGCAGCUAUGUAAUUGAGUGACAGUGAAAUAUUUCUUGUUGUCUAAGCGAUCUGAUAUUCAUAUGUAAAACUAUGUGUUCACUUGUUGAUCAUGGCAAGUUGUAGUGAGCAUUUCUGGUAGUUUAUAACUGUUUACAGUACAAUUGUGGAUCAUAAUGUACUGCUGGGACACACCAUUUGAAUACUACUAUAUGUGAUAUUUUGGGGGCAGGCUA